AGGGAAAGGUUGUAGCUCUUAUG
This 23-nucleotide microRNA is filed under the name Daphnia pulex (common water flea). RNAcentral describes it as "Dpu-Mir-965_5p* (star (passenger))". Lineage: Eukaryota; Metazoa; Arthropoda; Branchiopoda; Diplostraca; Daphniidae. The record is from RNAcentral.